ACUGCCUUCCCAGUGUCCCAGCAUUCCCCAAAAGGAUUCCACCAUUCCCCAGAAGAGGGAAGGCUGAUGGGCUGACAGUCUGUUCGGGGCUGAGCUGGGGUUUGGUUUUCCUCCUGAAGGACUCCUUCAACUCUUAGGGGAUGCACUGUCCUCCCCUGCCCUGGAGUGUCUGCUGAGCUAUUAUAGUUUCUCCCCAGGAGCUUAAGCCUCAAGUCCCUCACUUCCAUCAACUGCCCAUCUCAGAGGAAGGGACUGAGACCUGAACUCGGGACUACUUGUCUGCUCCUGUAGAAAUGACUGGGACUCCAGAGUGCAGCUCUGAAAAGGAGCAGAGAUGUAUCUACUCCUUUGUAUAGCUCCCACAGAGUGAAGCACUCAGCCUGGCACACACUACAUGCUCAGUUGGCAUUGAACUGGUGCAGAGGGGCCCUUGAAUACUUUUGGACCACCUCCUGUCCAUCUUCACCUCUUCCUACAAUGCUGCCAACUCCAGCCCUCCCUGAGGAGGCUCAGACCUUUCUCGGAAAUCACAUUCAGCCCUGUGGAGAUAAUCUUGGAACAUUCUGGGCUCUCCUAGAAUGACAUUUACCCUUGAAUACCAAGUGACUGGAGUGGAACUCCAGGACACCACUGUGUCCCAGCACAAAGAGCUAAGUCUCCAUUCCCCCCCGCCCCCGCCACCCACCCCAAAGCAGAGAUUCCAAUUUCCAAACCAGAGAUGAUACCCCAGUUAGAGUGAGCAGAAGAACCAUGAAUGCUGGAAAGAUAAGUGCUGUGAGGCUCCUGUCCAGGUGAGUGACUGAAGGCCCAGUAAGUCAACACCUUUCUAGUCAGUGAAGGAGUGCAUGGGCUUUUUCAAGUUCUGCUGGUGAAAGUGGUUUUCUAUUUGCUUUGUAUUGUUCAUACCUGACCCAUUCAUAAAAGAGUGAAAAUUGUCCAUUUGGGGGCCCUGGAUUGAAUUAUGGUUUUAAAUUCCAGUUCUUACAAGAAAAAAUUAACAUUUUAAGGAUUUUAAAUGUUGCAUGGGCUUUUUGUUGGCCUUUGGUACUUACCCACAUUCACCAUUUAUCAUGAUGAGAUGCUCUCCAUGCAUUCUCCUUCAGAGGACAUUGACAUUUACAUUCCAGUUCAAGCAUAGCAUGUUUAAUGGUGGCAGCUUAACCCCAAAGAAAGGAGUGAGAAGUGGGUGACAAAACUAUUUGUGUAUCUAGUGUUUUUUAAGACAUUCAUUCAUUCAUUUAACAAAUGGAUUUUUUUUUUACCCAAUAAGAUUUGCUUUAUUACAAAGAUAAUAUAUGCUCAUUUCAGAAAUUAAAAAAAAAAUACAGAGACACAAAACACAGAAGUCCUGAAAUCCCACCACCCAGGGACAAUCACUAUCAACGUUUGAAUGAGCAUUCUUCCAAGGCUGGCUCCGCACCAUCAUGUGUGGAGAUGUGGAAACACUAUUGUGUGUGCUGUGGUCCUCUGCCUGUUAUUUCGUCCUCAAUCACAUGUUGUGGACAUCUUUCCAUGUCAGUUAAUAAUAUAUAGGUAUAGGCAAAUAUCCAUUCUCUUUAGUGACUGUGUAGUAUUCUGCUGCAUCAACAUAUCAUAAUCUAUUUAACCUGUCCACUAUUGAUAGCUAUUUAGAUUGUUUCCAGAUUUUCAUUAUUCUAAAUAACCCUGCAAUGAACGACCUUAUACUACAUAUUUGUAAACUUGUUAGGCUAUUUCUUUUGGAUAACUUCCUAGGAGUGGGCAAAUGAUGAAGUGCAGGAUAUCUAAAAUACAUUAUUUCCUUUCCAUUCACAACAAUUCUGGGUCAUUUCAACUAGAUGUAAAAGAAAGUUGAUUUGGUCUUAAAAGUUAACUGGCAACAUUUUCUCAAAAUCCAUCAGGCCUGUCAGGAAGAUGAACACGAUUUUAGGGUGGGGAUCCAUUUAAUUUCCUCCUCUUCGCUUGGGUCUCUCUGUUGUUUCUACUUCCUUCGGGCCUUCCUGAGAGACUGAGGGUUUCCUCUAUUUCAGCAUUGAGCUCCUUAGCCCUUAGCCUUCACUCUUUGUAUUUUGGGUUGUCCCAUGUUAGUAUGUCCGAUCGUGGAAACAAAUAAUAACAACAACAAACACUUGCAUAGCAUUUGCAGUGUGCCAGGCAUGCAGAAUCAUAUCUGCUUUUCAAAUAUAAUUCAGUUAAUCUUCCAAAGAGCCUUACGUAGCAGGUUUCAUUAUCUUCCCUCUAUAGGUGAAGAAAUUGAGUCUCUAAGAGAGUAAGUAGUUUGUCUGAGUUUACACAGCAAGUAAAUGGCUGAGCCAGGAGCCAAACCCAUUCAGCUUGACUAUGGAGGCUCAUAGCUACACCUCAGCCAAUGUACUUUCUCUCACCAGUUCACACAGGUGUCCACACAGGUGCUGCAUGCUCUAGACCAUCCUAACCCAUCCGCUUCUGUGACCGGCCAGUGGCAUCUGCUCCUCCCCCAUCAUCUCAGUUGAAGAAUUAAGAUGAGAUGCCUCGUGUGUUUGUCUGGCAAUGAGGAAUAUUUGAGUGGAGCUGAAUUCUUCAAAGAAGUCUUAACCUUCAGGCUGGAGAAGAUCAGAACUCCUCUUCCUAAUUUGGAAAUAAUGUCUCUUGUUGAUGGGUUUUGUUUUAAUCAUAAAGUAUCUUGUGUUCAUUUUAGAAAAGAAGAAAAAAGCAAAUAAAAUCACCUGUUAGAGAAAAGUAACUAAUAUUUUGAUGUAUUCCCUUCCAGUACUUACAUAUAUAAGUAUAUAUGUAUGUAUAGUUAUAUACAUAAAACUAUGAAGAAAAGAUCAUGCCAUGUACUUGUAUAUAAUUUUGCAUAUUAAUUUUUGUUUAAUUUCAUAUCAUAACUGGUUUCACAUGGCAUUAAAAAUUCUUC
This is a long non-coding RNA of Symphalangus syndactylus (siamang), 2878 nucleotides long. RefSeq lists it as uncharacterized. Lineage: Eukaryota; Metazoa; Chordata; Mammalia; Primates; Hylobatidae. The record is from RefSeq and is a predicted model, not a curated record.